This 41-nucleotide transfer RNA is filed under the name Ulmus lamellosa. Its description in RNAcentral is "partial tRNA-Glu". Lineage: Eukaryota; Viridiplantae; Streptophyta; Magnoliopsida; Rosales; Ulmaceae. The record is from RNAcentral.
UUUCAAGGAGGCAGCGGGGAUUUGACUUCCCCUGGGGGUAG